CGUCAGUGUAGCAAUACAUCGGCGGUCCUAGUGGCGCACGGGUGAGUAACACGUGGGUGACCUACCCUUGAGCUCGGGAUACCCCCUCGAAAGGGGGGCUAAUACCGGAUACGUUCCUCGGUCGAAAGACUGGGGAGGAAAGGUGGCGCAAGCUGCCGCUCUUGGAGGGGCUCGCGGCCUAUCAGCUAGUUGGCGGGGUAACGGCCCACCAAGGCUAUGACGGGUAGCUGGUCUGAGAGGACGACCAGCCACACGGGGACUGAGACACGGCCCCGACUCCUACGGGAGGCAGCAGUGGGGAAUUUUCCGCAAUGGGCGAAAGCCUGACGGAGUGACGCCGCGUGUGGGACGAAGGCCUUCGGGUCGUAAACCACUGUCAGUGGGAAAGAUGGGUGUCGAUGUUAAUACCAUCGGCAUCUGACGGUACCUGCAGAGGAAGCCCCGGCCAACUCUGUGCCAGCAGCCGCGGUAAGACAGAGGGGGCAAGCGUUGCUCGGAAUUACUGGGCGUAAAGGGCGCGUAGGCGGGAUGGCAAGUCGGUCGUGAAAUCCCUCGGCUCAACCGAGGAACGUCGAUCGAUACUGCUGUUCUUGAGGAUUGCAGAGGAGACUGGAAUUCCCGGUGUAGCGGUGAAAUGUGUAGAGAUCGGGAGGAACACCGGUGGCGAAGGCGGGUCUCUGGGCAAUUCCUGACGCUGAGGCGCGAAAGCGUGGGGAGCAA
This 720-nucleotide ribosomal RNA is filed under the name uncultured Chloroflexota bacterium. RNAcentral describes it as "bacterial SSU rRNA". It matches the Rfam family "Bacterial small subunit ribosomal RNA", at positions 69 to 771 of the family's 1533-position model. Lineage: Bacteria; Bacillati; Chloroflexota. The record is from RNAcentral.